Molecule: ribosomal RNA, 466 nt
Filed under: uncultured bacterium
Lineage: Bacteria
Description: partial 16S ribosomal RNA
Rfam family: Bacterial small subunit ribosomal RNA
Source: RNAcentral
CUACGGGGGGCACCAGUGGGGAAUAUUGGACAAUGGGGGAAACCCUGAUCCAGCAAUGCCGCGUGUGUGAAGAAGGCCUGCGGGUUGUAAAGCACUUUCGGUUGGGAGGACUGCUUCUAGCACUAAUAUUGUUGGAAGUUGACGUUACCUUCAGAAGAAGCACCGGCUAACUCCGUGCCAGCAGCCGCGGUGAAUACGGAGGGUGCAAGCGUUAAUCGGAAUUACUGGGCGUAAAGCGCGCGUAGGCGGCUAGAUCAGUCGGGUGUGAAAGCCCCGGGCUUAACCUGGGAACUGCAUCAGAUACUGUCUAGCUUGAGUACAGGAGAGGAGAGUGGAAUUCCACAUGUAGCGGUGAAAUGCGUAGAUAUGUGGAGGAACACCAAUGGCGAAGGCAGCUCUCUGGCCUGAUACUGACGCUGAGGUGCGAAAGCGUGGGGAGCAAACAGGAUUAGAUACCCGGGUAGUC